UCGAGUAGAGGCGCAUUCAUCAACAGUAUAUUUCAGGAACUUGAAGGAAGUUAUGACUGGAGUAAAAAGGGAUGAGUGCCGAAACCGACAAUUGCCUUCCAAUUGUCGGUUGGGUCCCAGCUUAAGAGGCUGGGGACUGUCGCGGGAAUCCGCGGAGAGCUAUCA
Molecule: non-coding RNA, 165 nt
Filed under: Lentilactobacillus kefiri
Lineage: Bacteria; Bacillati; Bacillota; Bacilli; Lactobacillales; Lactobacillaceae
Description: Lysine riboswitch
Rfam family: Lysine riboswitch aptamer
About the family: Riboswitches are metabolite binding domains within certain messenger RNAs that serve as precision sensors for their corresponding targets. Allosteric rearrangement of mRNA structure is mediated by ligand binding, and this results in modulation of gene expression.
Source: RNAcentral